RNAcentral lists this ribosomal RNA (237 nucleotides) under uncultured Actinomycetales bacterium. Its description in RNAcentral is "partial 16S ribosomal RNA". It matches the Rfam family "Bacterial small subunit ribosomal RNA", at positions 97 to 334 of the family's 1533-position model. The record is from RNAcentral. Lineage: Bacteria; Bacillati; Actinomycetota; Actinomycetes; Actinomycetales.
GGCGAACGGGUGAGUAACACGUGAGUAACCUGCCCUUGACUUUGGGAUAACUUCAGGAAACUGGGGCUAAUACCGGAUAGGAGCUCCUGCUGCAUGGUGGGGGCGUGGAAAGUUUCGGCGGUUGGGGAUGGACUCGCGGCUUAUCAGCUUGUUGGUGGGGUAGUGGCUUACCAAGGCUUUGACGGGUAGCCGGCCUGAGAGGGUGACCGGCCACAUUGGGACUGAGAUACGGCCCAG